This 482-nucleotide ribosomal RNA is filed under the name uncultured bacterium. RNAcentral's name for it is "partial 16S ribosomal RNA". It matches the Rfam family "Bacterial small subunit ribosomal RNA", at positions 30 to 507 of the family's 1533-position model. The record is from RNAcentral.
AUUGAACGCUGGCGGCAUGCCUUACACAUGCAAGUCGAACGGUAACAGGUCUUCGGAUGCUGACGAGUGGCGAACGGGUGAGUAAUACAUCGGAACGUGCCCAGACGUGGGGGAUAACGAGGCGAAAGCUUUGCUAAUACCGCAUACGAUCUAAGGAUGAAAGCAGGGGACCGCAAGGCCUUGCGCGUUUGGAGCGGCCGAUGGCAGAUUAGGUAGUUGGUGGGAUAAAAGCUUACCAAGCCGACGAUCUGUAGCUGGUCUGAGAGGACGACCAGCCACACUGCGACUGAGACACGGCCCAGACUCCUACGGGAGGCAGCAGUGGGGAAUUUUGGACAAUGGGCGAAAGCCUGAUCCAGCAAUGCCGCGUGCAGGAUGAAGGCCUUCGGGUUGUAAACUGCUUUUGUACGGAACGAAAAGGCUCUGGCUAAUACCUGGGGCACAUGACGGUACCGUAAGAAUAAGCACCGGCUAACUACGUG